GACGAACGCUGGCGGCGUGCCUAAUACAUGCAAGUCGUGCGGACCUUGUUGAAAGCUUGCUUUUAAAAGGUUAGCGGCGGACGGGUGAGUAACACGUGGGCAACCUGCCUGUAAGACUGGGAUAACGCCGGGAAACCGGGGCUAAUACCAGAUCGUUUUUUCCUCCGCAUGGAGGAAAAAGGAAAGGCGGCUUCGGCUGCCACUUACAGAUGGGCCCGCGGCGCAUUAGCUAGUUGGCGGGGUAAUGGCCCACCAAGGCAACGAUGCGUAGCCGACCUGAGAGGGUGAUCGGCCACAUUGGGACUGAGACACGGCCCAAACUCCUACGGGAGGCAGCAGUAGGGAAUCUUCCGCAAUGGACGAAAGUCUGACGGAGCAACGCCGCGUGAGUGAAGAAGGCCUUCGGGUCGUAAAACUCUGUUGCCGGGGAAGAACAAGUGCCAUUCGAACAGGGCGGCGCCUUGACGGUACCCGGCCAGAAAGCCACGGCUAACUACGUG
This 500-nucleotide ribosomal RNA is filed under the name uncultured bacterium. RNAcentral's name for it is "partial 16S ribosomal RNA". It matches the Rfam family "Bacterial small subunit ribosomal RNA", at positions 28 to 507 of the family's 1533-position model. The record is from RNAcentral.